AUACGUAGGGUGCGAGCGUUGUCCGGAAUUACUGGGCGUAAAGAGCUCGUAGGUGGUUUGUCGCGUCGUCUGUGAAAUUCCGGGGCUUAACUCCGGGCGUGCAGGCGAUACGGGCAUAACUUGAGUACUGUAGGGGAGACUGGAAUUCCUGGUGUAGCGGUGAAAUGCGCAGAUAUCAGGAGGAACACCGGUGGCGAAGGCGGGUCUCUGGGCAGUAACUGACGCUGAGGAGCGAAAGCAUGGGUAGCGAACAGGAUUAGAUACCCUGGUUGUCCAUGCCGUAAACGGUGGGCGCUAGGUGUAGGGGUCUUCCACGACUUCUGUGCCGUAGCUAACGCAUUAAGCGCCCCGCCUGGGGAGUACGGCCGCAAGGCUAAAACUCAAAUGAAUUGACGGGG
RNAcentral lists this ribosomal RNA (398 nucleotides) under uncultured bacterium. RNAcentral's name for it is "partial 16S ribosomal RNA". It matches the Rfam family "Bacterial small subunit ribosomal RNA", at positions 523 to 918 of the family's 1533-position model. The record is from RNAcentral.